GCGGCGUGCCUAAUACAUGCAAGUAGGACGCACAGUUUAUACCGUAGCUUGCUACACCAUAGACUGUGAGUUGCGAACGGGUGAGUAACGCGUAGGUAACCUACCUAUUAGAGGGGGAUAACUAUUGGAAACGAUAGCUAAUACCGCAUAACAGUAUGUAACACAUGUUAGAUGCUUGAAAGAUGCAAUUGCAUCGCUAGUAGAUGGACCUGCGUUGUAUUAGCUAGUAGGUAGGGUAAUGGCCUACCUAGGCAACGAUACAUAGCCGACCUGAGAGGGUGAUCGGCCACACUGGGACUGAGACACGGCCCAGACUCCUACGGGAGGCAGCAGUAGGGAAUCUUCGGCAAUGGGGGGAACCCUGACCGAGCAACGCCGCGUGAGUGAAGAAGGUUUUCGGAUCGUAAAGCUCUGUUGUUAAGGAAGAACGAGUGUGAGAAUGGAAAGUCCAUGCUGUGACGGUACUUAACCAGAAAGGGACGGCUAACUACGUGCCAGCAGCCGCGGUAAUACGUAGGUCCCGAGCGUUGUCCGGAUUUAUUGGGCGUAAAGCGGGCGCAGGCGGUUAGAAAAGUCUGAAGUGAAAGGCAGUGGCUCAACCAUUGUAGGCUUUGGAAACUGUUUAACUUGAGUGCAGAAGGGGAGAGUGGAAUUCCAUGUGUAGCGGUGAAAUGCGUAGAUAUAUGGAGGAACACCGGUGGCGAAA
This 706-nucleotide ribosomal RNA is filed under the name uncultured Bacilli bacterium. RNAcentral's name for it is "bacterial SSU rRNA". It matches the Rfam family "Bacterial small subunit ribosomal RNA", at positions 39 to 720 of the family's 1533-position model. The record is from RNAcentral. Lineage: Bacteria; Bacillati; Bacillota; Bacilli.